GGAACCCCCUCAAGCCGCUGCUCAUGGUGUUAUUGAGAAGGACGUAUUUCCUGCCUCUCUUUGUAGCCAGGUGGGCCAGGACGGUCCUCGCACUCCUGAAACUCCAGGCUGCACUCUAACUCACAGAGAUCCCCCUGCUUCCGCCUUCUGAGUGCUGGGAGUACAGAAGACCCAGGUUCGAGUCCCAGCACCUACAUGGCCUCUUCUAGUUCCUCUCCUGACCAGGCACCAGGCACCCACACGGUGCACAGACACAUGUGUAGGUAAACACUGAC
Long non-coding RNA from Meriones unguiculatus (Mongolian gerbil), 275 nucleotides. RefSeq lists it as uncharacterized. The record is from RefSeq and is a predicted model, not a curated record. The transcript is spliced from 3 exons. Lineage: Eukaryota; Metazoa; Chordata; Mammalia; Rodentia; Muridae.